UCACAUACUUGGCAGAGAGAUACCAUGAUCGUGAAGGCAGUUUCCCAAGGAUAAGAGCCUUCUAUUGAACUAGAGAUGCACUAAUGACCCUUAUGAUUUUUUACAAAUGCAGGAAAUCUAACAAAAUAAUCUGUAGAAAUGGGGAACUAUGUCUGCCUUUUCCCCUA
Small nuclear RNA from Cricetulus griseus (Chinese hamster), 167 nucleotides. Its record names the gene U1. It matches the Rfam family "U1 spliceosomal RNA". Rfam says of the family: U1 is a small nuclear RNA (snRNA) component of the spliceosome (involved in pre-mRNA splicing). Its 5' end forms complementary base pairs with the 5' splice junction, thus defining the 5' donor site of an intron. NCBI's taxonomy places the organism in Eukaryota, Metazoa, Chordata, Mammalia, Rodentia, Cricetidae. The record is from Ensembl.